AGAACUGCAUAACUGAAAUCUCAAAUGAAGGGGCAACGCCCGGAAGGGGAUUCACUAAUACUCCGAAUAGCGUCAGCCGGAUACAGACGGCUGGGGUUAUCGAGCUCGGGGAAGUCGUGCGAAGCACACCCUAACGCCGGAAGGCGAGGAAAGAUUCGUAGAGGUACGGGUUGUGUGUGACAGUGCGGGUG
Molecule: non-coding RNA, 191 nt
Filed under: uncultured Muricomes sp.
Lineage: Bacteria; Bacillati; Bacillota; Clostridia; Lachnospirales; Lachnospiraceae
Source: RNAcentral